AUAUUUGAUCUAGGUGCAAGGCAACAGGAACAAAGAUAUCUUUGAGCUUUGUGUUGCUCUUUGCCAGCUUGCUGGAAAGAGACCAUUUGGAAUUGUGGGCUCUGGGUGCUGACAGCUGAACUUUUCCCAUUGCAGAUUACGUCUUUGUCACGCCAGUAGAAGUAGACUCAGCCGGGUCAUAUAUUUCACACGACAUUUUGCACAACGGCAGGAAAAAGCGAUCGGCGCAGAAUGCCAGAAGCUCCCUGCACUACCGAUUUUCAGCAUUUGGACAGGAACUGCACUUAGAACUUAAGCCCUCGGCGAUUUUGAGCAGUCACUUUAUUGUCCAGGUACUUGGAAAAGAUGGUGCUUCAGAGACUCAGAAACCCGAGGUGCAGCAAUGCUUCUAUCAGGGAUUUGUCAGAAAUGACAGCUCCUCCUCUCUCGCUGUGUCUACGUGUGCUGGCUUGGUCUUCAAACCUUGCUUAGUUCUUUCAUUGUUUUUCUCAAUAAACUGAAAGAAUAUUUAUGCUACUUCCCAGAAUUUCAAGUCCAAUUGAAGGGGAAAGUUUAAUAAGGACACGAAAAAAUGAAUUCCUCAUCUCGCCAUUACCUCAGCUUCUGGCCCAGGAACACAACUACAGCUCCCCUGCGGGUCACCAUCCUCACGUACUGUAC
This 660-nucleotide small RNA is filed under the name Pan troglodytes (chimpanzee). Its description in RNAcentral is "retained intron". The record is from RNAcentral. Lineage: Eukaryota; Metazoa; Chordata; Mammalia; Primates; Hominidae.